This 69-nucleotide transfer RNA is filed under the name Ictidomys tridecemlineatus (thirteen-lined ground squirrel). Its description in RNAcentral is "Spermophilus tridecemlineatus (thirteen-lined ground squirrel) tRNA". It matches the Rfam family "tRNA". Rfam says of the family: Transfer RNA (tRNA) molecules are approximately 80 nucleotides in length. Their secondary structure includes four short double-helical elements and three loops (D, anti-codon, and T loops). The record is from Rfam by way of RNAcentral. Lineage: Eukaryota; Metazoa; Chordata; Mammalia; Rodentia; Sciuridae.
GGGGUUGUAGCUCAGAGGUAGAGUGCUUGCCUACCACGUGUGAGGCACUGGGUUAAAUCCUCAGCUCCA